CCUACGGGAGGCAGCAGUAAGGAAUAUUGGUCAAUGGACGCAAGUCUGAACCAGCCAUGCCGCGUGAAGGAUUAAGGUCCUCUGGAUUGUAAACUUCUUUUAUAUGGGACGAAAACAGAUCUUUCUAGGUCCUUUGACGGUACCAUAUGAAUAAGCACCGGCUAACUCCGUGCCAGCAGCCGCGGUAAUACGGAGGGUGCAAGCGUUAUCCGGAUUCACUGGGUUUAAAGGGUGCGUAGGCGGGUAGGUAAGUCAGUGGUGAAAUCCUGGAGCUCAACUCCAGAACUGCCAUUGAUACUAUCUAUCUUGAAUAUUGUGGAGGUAAGCGGAAUAUGUCAUGUAGCGGUGAAAUGCUUAGAUAUGACAUAGAACACCCAUUGCGAAGGCAGCUUACUACGCAUAUAUUGACGCUGAGGCACGAAAGCGUGGGGAUCAAACAGGAUUAGAUACCCUGGUAGUCCACGCCCUAAACGAUGGAUACUCGACAUACGCGAUACACAGUGUGUGUCUGAGCGAAAGCAUUAAGUAUCCCACCUGGAGUACGUUCGCAAGAAUGAAACUUAAAUAGAAAUUGACGGG
Molecule: ribosomal RNA, 579 nt
Filed under: uncultured bacterium
Lineage: Bacteria
Description: bacterial SSU rRNA
Rfam family: Bacterial small subunit ribosomal RNA
Source: RNAcentral